Molecule: ribosomal RNA, 484 nt
Filed under: uncultured bacterium
Lineage: Bacteria
Description: partial 16S ribosomal RNA
Rfam family: Bacterial small subunit ribosomal RNA
Source: RNAcentral
AUUGAACGCUGGCGGCAGGCCUAACACAUGCAAGUCGAGCGGACGAAGGGAGCUUGCUCCUGGAUUCAGCGGCGGACGGGUGAGUAAUGCCUAGGAAUCUGCCCGGUAGUUGGGGAUAACGUCCGGAAACGGGCGCUAAUACCGCACACGUUCUGAGGGAGAAAGUGGGGGUUCUUCGGACCUCACGCUAUCAGAUGAGCCUAGGACGGAUUAGCUAGUUGGUAGGGUAAAGGCCUACCAAGGCGACGAUCCGUAACUGGUCUGAGAGGAUGAUCAGUCACACUGGAACUGAGACACGGUCCAGACUCCUACGGGAGGCAGCAGUGGGGAAUAUUGGACAAUGGGCGAAAGCCUGAUCCAGCCAUGCCGCGUGUGUGAAGAAGGUCUUCGGAUUGUAAAGCACUUUAAGUUGGGAGGAAGGGCGGUAAGUUAAUACCUUGCUGUUUUGACGUUACCAACAGAAUAAGCACCGGCUAACUUCGUG